Molecule: ribosomal RNA, 328 nt
Filed under: uncultured eukaryote
Lineage: Eukaryota
Description: partial 18S ribosomal RNA
Rfam family: Eukaryotic small subunit ribosomal RNA
Source: RNAcentral
CCCUUAGAUGUCCUGGGCCGCACGCGCGUUACACUGAUGCAUUCAACGAGCUUAUAACCUUGGCCGAGAGGCCUGGGCAAUCUUGUUAACGUGCAUCGUGAUAGGGAUAGAUUAUUGAAAUUAUUAAUCUUGAACGAGGAAUUCCUAGUAAACGCAGAUCAUCAAUCUGCAUUGAUUACGUCCCUGCCCUUUGUACACACCGCCCGUCGCACCUACCGAUUGGAUGGUCCGGUGAAGCCUCGGGAUUGUGGUUCUUGCCGCUUUAUUGUGGGGUGACCGCGAGAACUUGUCUAAACCUUAUCAUCUAGAGGAAGGUGAAGUCGUAACA